Molecule: ribosomal RNA, 503 nt
Filed under: uncultured bacterium
Lineage: Bacteria
Description: partial 16S ribosomal RNA
Rfam family: Bacterial small subunit ribosomal RNA
Source: RNAcentral
AUUGAACGCUGGCGGCAGGCUUAACACAUGCAAGUCGAGCGGGGUGAUGGUGCUUGCACUAUCACUUAGCGGCGGACGGGUGAGUAAUGCUUAGGAAUCUGCCUAUUAGUGGGGGACAACAUCUCGAAAGGGAUGCUAAUACCGCAUACGUCCUACGGGAGAAAGCAGGGGAUCACUUGUGACCUUGCGCUAAUAGAUGAGCCUAAGUCGGAUUAGCUAGUUGGUGGGGUAAAGGCCUACCAAGGCGACGAUCUGUAGCGGGUCUGAGAGGAUGCUCCGACACACUGGGACUGAGACACGGCCCAGACUCCUACGGGAGGCAGCAGUGGGGAAUAUUGGACAAUGGGGGGAACCCUGAUCCAGCCAUGCCGCGUGUGUGAAGAAGGCCUUAUGGUUGUAAAGCACUUUAAGCGAGGAGGAGGCUCUUUUGGUUAAUACCCAAGAUGAGUGGACGUUACUCGCAGAAUAAGCACCGGCUAACUCUGUGCCAGCCGCCGCAGUAA